RNAcentral lists this ribosomal RNA (433 nucleotides) under uncultured bacterium. Its description in RNAcentral is "partial 16S ribosomal RNA". It matches the Rfam family "Bacterial small subunit ribosomal RNA", at positions 29 to 507 of the family's 1533-position model. The record is from RNAcentral.
AACGAACGCUGGCGGCAUGCCUAACACAUGCAAGUCGAACGAGACCUUCGGGUCUAGUGGCGCACGGGUGCGUAACGCGUGGGAACCUGCCUUUAGGUUCGGAAUAACUCAGAGAAAUUUGAGCUAAUACCGGAUGAUGUCUUCGGACCAAAGAUUUAUCGCCUUUAGAUGGGUCCGCGUUGGAUUAGCUAGUUGGUGGGGUAAAGGCCUACCAAGGCGACGAUCCAUAGCUGGUCUGAGAGGAUGAUCAGCCACACUGGGACUGAGACACGGCCCAGACUCCUACGGGAGGCAGCAGUGGGGAAUAUUGGACAAUGGGCGAAAGCCUGAUCCAGCAAUGCCGCGUGAGUGAUGAAGGCCUUAGGGUUGUAAAGCUCUUUUACCCGAGAUGAUAAUGACAGUAUCGGGAGAAUAAGCUCCGGCUAACUCCGUG